RNAcentral lists this small RNA (29 nucleotides) under Bombyx mori (domestic silkworm). Its description in RNAcentral is "ovarian small RNA-29093". The record is from RNAcentral. Lineage: Eukaryota; Metazoa; Arthropoda; Insecta; Lepidoptera; Bombycidae.
UCGUAAGUUAAGUGCGAAUUACCUACAAC